Molecule: ribosomal RNA, 507 nt
Filed under: uncultured bacterium
Lineage: Bacteria
Description: partial 16S ribosomal RNA
Rfam family: Bacterial small subunit ribosomal RNA
Source: RNAcentral
GAUGAACGCUAGCUACAGGCUUGACACAUGCAAGUCGAGGGGAAACGACAUUCGAAGCUUGCUUCCGAUGGGCGUCGACCGGCGCACGGGUGAGUAACGCGUAUCCAACCUGCCCAUCACUUGGGGAUAACCUUGCGAAAGUAAGACUAAUACCCAAUGAUAUCUCUAGAAGACAACUGAAAGGGAUUAAAGCUUUAUUGGUGAUGGAUGGGGAUGCGUCUUAUUAGCUUGUUGGCCGGGUAACCGCCCACCAAGGCGACGAUCAGUAGGGGGUCUGCGAGGAAGGUCCCCCACAUUGGGACUGGGACACGGUCCUAACUCCUGAGGGAGGCAGCAGUUAGGAAUAUUGGUCAAUGGGCGAGAGCCUAAACCAGCCAAGUAGCGUGCAGGAAGACGGCCCUAUGGGUUGUAAACUGCUUUUAUAAGUGAAUAAAGUGAGUCUCGUGAGACUUUUGCAUGUACCUUAUGAAUAAGGACCGGCUAAUUCCGUGCCAGCCGCCGCCGUAA